GGGGCUAUAGCUCAGCUGGGAGAGCGCCUGCUUUGCACGCAGGAGGUCUGCGGUUCUGAUCCCGCAUAGCUCCACCA
RNAcentral lists this transfer RNA (77 nucleotides) under Escherichia coli. Its description in RNAcentral is "tRNA-Ala". It matches the Rfam family "tRNA". Rfam says of the family: Transfer RNA (tRNA) molecules are approximately 80 nucleotides in length. Their secondary structure includes four short double-helical elements and three loops (D, anti-codon, and T loops). Further hydrogen bonds mediate the characteristic L-shaped molecular structure. tRNAs have two regions of fundamental functional importance: the anti-codon, which is responsible for specific mRNA codon recognition, and the 3' end, to which the tRNAs corresponding amino acid is attached (by aminoacyl-tRNA synthetases). tRNAs cope with the degeneracy of the genetic code in two manners: having more than one tRNA (with a specific anti-codon) for a particular amino acid; and 'wobble' base-pairing, i.e. permitting non-standard base-pairing at the 3rd anti-codon position. The record is from RNAcentral. RNAcentral also lists the same sequence under 1 other name. Lineage: Bacteria; Pseudomonadati; Pseudomonadota; Gammaproteobacteria; Enterobacterales; Enterobacteriaceae.